RNAcentral lists this ribosomal RNA (496 nucleotides) under uncultured bacterium. RNAcentral describes it as "partial 16S ribosomal RNA". It matches the Rfam family "Bacterial small subunit ribosomal RNA", at positions 28 to 506 of the family's 1533-position model. The record is from RNAcentral.
GAUGAACGCUGGCGGCGUGCCUAAUACAUGCAAGUCGAGCGAACAGACGAGGAGCUUGCUCCUCUGACGUUAGCGGCGGACGGGUGAGUAACACGUGGAUAACCUACCUAUAAGACUGGGAUAACUUCGGGAAACCGGAGCUAAUACCGGAUAAUAUAUUGAACCGCAUGGUUCAAUAGUGAAAGACGGUUUUGCUGUCACUUAUAGAUGGAUCCGCGCCGCAUUAGCUAGUUGGUAAGGUAACGGCUUACCAAGGCAACGAUGCGUAGCCGACCUGAGAGGGUGAUCGCCCACACGGGAACUGAGACCCGGUCCAGACUCCUACGGAAGGCAGCAGUAGGGAAUCUUCCGCAAUGGGCGAAAGCCUGACGGGGCAACGCCGCGUGAGUGAUGAAGGUCUUCGGAUCGUAAAACUCUGUUAUUAGGGAAGAACAAAUGUGUAAGUAACGAUGCACGUCUUGACGGUACCAAAGCAGAAAGCCACGGCUAACUACGU